RNAcentral lists this ribosomal RNA (467 nucleotides) under uncultured bacterium. RNAcentral describes it as "partial 16S ribosomal RNA". It matches the Rfam family "Bacterial small subunit ribosomal RNA", at positions 28 to 507 of the family's 1533-position model. The record is from RNAcentral.
GACGGACGCUGGCGGCGUGCUUAACACAUGCAAGUCGAACGGAAAGGCCCUGCUUUUGUGGGGUGCUCGAGUGGCGAACGGGUGAGUAACACGUGAGUAACCUGCCCUUGACUUUGGGAUAACUUCAGGAAACUGGGGCUAAUACCGGAUAGGAGCUCCUGCUGCAUGGUGGGGGUUGGAAAGUUUCGGCGGUUGGGAUGGACUCGCGGCUUAUCAGCUUGUUGGUGGGGUAGUGGCUUACCAAGGCUUUGACGGGUAGCCGGCCUGAGAGGGUGACCGGCCACAUUGGGACUGAGAUACGGCCCAGACUCCUACGGGAGGCAGCAGUGGGGAAUAUUGCACAAUGGGCGGAAGCCUGAUGCAGCAACGCCGCGUGCGGGAUGACGGCCUUCGGGUUGUAAACCGCUUUCGCCUGUGACGAAGCGUGAGUGACGGUAAUGGGUAAAGAAGCACCGGCUAACUACGUG